Molecule: ribosomal RNA, 430 nt
Filed under: uncultured bacterium
Lineage: Bacteria
Description: partial 16S ribosomal RNA
Rfam family: Bacterial small subunit ribosomal RNA
Source: RNAcentral
AACGAACGCUGGCGGCAGGCUUAACACAUGCAAGUCGAACGCCCCGCAAGGGGAGUGGCAGACGGGUGAGUAACGCGUGGGAACAUACCCUUUUCUACGGAAUAGCUCUGGGAAACUGGAAUUAAUACCGUAUACGCCCUACGGGGGAAAGAUUUAUCGGGGAAGGAUUGGCCCGCGUUGGAUUAGCUAGUUGGUGGGGUAAAGGCCUACCAAGGCGACGAUCCAUAGCUGGUCUGAGAGGAUGAUCAGCCACAUUGGGACUGAGACACGGCCCAAACUCCCACGGGGGGCAGGAGUGGGGAAUAUGGGACAAUGGGCGCAAGCCUGAUCCAGCCAUGCCGGGGGAGUGAUGAAGGCCUUAGGGUUGAAAAGCUCUUUCACCGAUGAAGAAAAUGACGGUAGUGGGAGAAGAAGCCCCGGCUAACUGCGU